This 253-nucleotide ribosomal RNA is filed under the name uncultured bacterium. RNAcentral describes it as "partial 16S ribosomal RNA". It matches the Rfam family "Archaeal small subunit ribosomal RNA", at positions 474 to 727 of the family's 1478-position model. The record is from RNAcentral.
UACCCGCAGCACAAGUGGUGGUCAUUAUUAUUGGGCCUAAAGCGUCUGUAGCUGGCCUGUUAGAUGCCUGGGUAAAUCGAUGCGCUCAACGCAUCGAACUCCGGGUAGACCGGCAGGCUUGGGACCGGGAGAGGCGUGAGCUACUCGAGGGGUAGGGGUAAAAUCCUGUAAUCCUUCGGGGAGGACCAGUGGCGAAGGCGUCACGCUAGAACGGCUCCGACAGUGAGGGACGAAGCCCUGGGGCGCAAACCGG